AGUGAACGCUGGCGGUAGGCCUAACACAUGCAAGUCGAACGGCAGCACAGUAAGAGCUUGCUCUUACGGGUGGCGAGUGGCGGACGGGUGAGGAAUACAUCGGAAUCUACUUUUUCGUGGGGGAUAACGUAGGGAAACUUACGCUAAUACCGCAUACGACCUACGGGUGAAAGCAGGGGAUCUUCGGACCUUGCGCGAUUGAAUGAGCCGAUGUCGGAUUAGCUAGUUGGCGGGGUAAAGGCCCACCAAGGCGACGAUCCGUAGCUGGUCUGAGAGGAUGAUCCGCCACACUGGAACUGAGACACGGUCCAGACUCCUACGGGAGGGAGCAGUGGGGAAUAUUGGACAAUGGGCGCAAGCCUGAUCCAGCCAUACCGCGUGGGUGAAGAAGGCCCUCGGGUUGUAAAGCCCUUUUGUUGGGAAAGAAAAGCAGCAGGUUAAUACCCCGCUGUUCUGACGGUACCCAAAGAAUAAGCACCGGCUAACUUCGUG
RNAcentral lists this ribosomal RNA (492 nucleotides) under uncultured bacterium. RNAcentral describes it as "partial 16S ribosomal RNA". It matches the Rfam family "Bacterial small subunit ribosomal RNA", at positions 29 to 507 of the family's 1533-position model. The record is from RNAcentral.